This 214-nucleotide unclassified non-coding RNA is filed under the name Hevea brasiliensis (rubber tree). The record is from RNAcentral. Lineage: Eukaryota; Viridiplantae; Streptophyta; Magnoliopsida; Malpighiales; Euphorbiaceae.
GUUGCAAAUGUUGUUUAACAUAAAGAUUAGAGAAGAAUACAUCCAACAUGACAUCAGAGCUUUGAUUGACAACAAAAGCCAACAUCUGUGCCAGGCCAAUAUCAACAACAUCUGGUGAAUCCAAGUGAGCAACAGAUGUCAUUCCACUGUUUUGGUUCCUUAUGACAAUGCCUACGCAAGUUGUUGCCUCAUCCGUCCCUACCACAUCGACAAG